This 1390-nucleotide long non-coding RNA is filed under the name Ananas comosus (pineapple). Its description in RNAcentral is "long non-coding RNA (ACOM_LNC025923)". Lineage: Eukaryota; Viridiplantae; Streptophyta; Magnoliopsida; Poales; Bromeliaceae. The record is from RNAcentral.
UAUUACAAAUAUUUUCUAAUAAAAUAUAAUAUUUAAUAAUUUUUAUUGUAAAUUUUUGGAUAAAUAUAAUGUACAAAUUUAUAUUAAUUUUUAAUAAAUUAAAAUAAUUAUUACGUGCAUUUGCACGUACAUUCUACAAGCCCCAUUUUUUGGCGGGAUAAAAAAUUGAUUCUUCUUUCCUUACGUAAAGUAAAUAGCAGAAUUAAACACAACUUUUAUUUCCUCUUUAUUUUUAUAACAGAAAAAAAAAUUUAUGCUUAUCCAAAUUUUUACCAAUCGAAGAAUAUCUACUAUGAAUUUUUAUUUAAUUCUUCUUUAUCUCUAUCUGUAAUAUAAUAUCUAUACUAUCUAAAUUACGUAUUUCAAAUUUCUAUUGGUCGACAGAUCCAUUUUUUGGCGGAAAAAAAAUUUACUCAUCCAAAUUUUUGCCAACCGAAAGAUAUCUAAUGUGAAGCUAUAUUUUAAUUCAAAAUUUAUUUAAUUUUUUUUUAUCUCUAAAAUAGAAACAAAUUCAUGCUUAUCUAAAUUUUUGCCAGAAUAUCAAUAUGUUAAAAAAUAGUACUUCUAUCCAUCUAUUUUACAUUACGAUUUAAAUUUGAGUUUAAAUCGUGAAUUAAAUUUAAUUUUCAAUUUUUUAUAUCAAAUCUAUCCAUCUAUUUUAUAUUAAAAUUUAAAUUUGAUAUUGUAGAUAUUUUCUAAUAAAAUAUAACAUAUAAAUUUACAAAUAUUUUAUCUAAAUUUUUGAAUAAAUAUCAUUUAUAAAUUUUUAUUGAUUUAAAAUAAAUUAAAAUAAUUGUUACGUGCAUUUGCACGUACGCUCAACUAGUAUAUAUAUAGAGAGAGAGAGAGCUAGUCUCUUAUACUAUCUAUAGUACCGGAGCUUACCGGAGCUUCGGUACUAUAGUCUCGUUUUUUAUCUUAGGGUGUUCAAAUUAACGAUCCACACCGUUAAAACUGAUCUAGCGUAUUUAAAGUCUUUAGAAAUACAAUUUUAUAUUUUUCGACAUAGUUUACUUUGUGAUCAAACCAUUUCAAAAUUAUCAAUUUUCAAUGGCUACUACGGCGAGUUUGGAGUUUAACGGUAUAGAAGAAUCUAAAUUUCUUCAAAUUUUGAUUAAAAAUACUUUAAACUGUCUAGAUUAAGGUUAACAUUCUUGAUCUUGAAUUUAAAUAUCCUAUACUCAAAUUCUAAAGAUUAUUCAAUUUCCACCGUUUAUUUUGAUAUAAUUUAUUUACUAAGUAACGAUGUCGAAAAAAACUAAAAUUUUAUUUCUAAGAACUUUAUAUACUCUAUAUCAUAUUUAACUGUGUGGAUCGUUAAUUUGAACACAAUAAGAUCGAAAACAAGACUAUUAGCUCCGGUACUAUAGAUAGUAUAGUAGCCUAAUUC